Molecule: ribosomal RNA, 256 nt
Filed under: uncultured bacterium
Lineage: Bacteria
Description: partial 16S ribosomal RNA
Rfam family: Bacterial small subunit ribosomal RNA
Source: RNAcentral
UAAUACAGAGGGUGCGAGCGUUAAUCGGAAUUAUUGGGCGUAAAGGGAGCGUAGGCGGAUGUGCAAGUGAUAGGUGAAAUACCCGGGCUUAACCUGGGGAAGUCCUAUCAGACUGUGCGUCUAGAGUGAGGUAGAGGAAGGUGGAAUUCCUGGUGUAGCGGUGAAAUGCGUAGAUAUCAGGAAGAACAUCAAUGGCGAAGGCAACCUUCUGGGCCUUUACUGACGCUGAGGCUCGAAAGCGUGGGGAGCGAACAGG